This 792-nucleotide ribosomal RNA is filed under the name uncultured archaeon. Its description in RNAcentral is "bacterial SSU rRNA". It matches the Rfam family "Archaeal small subunit ribosomal RNA", at positions 85 to 878 of the family's 1478-position model. The record is from RNAcentral.
ACUGCUCAGUAACACGUGGACAACCUACCCUUAGGACGGGUAUAAACCCGGGAAACUGGGUAUAAUCCCCGAUAGUCCUCGACUGCUGGAAUGCAUCGAGGACGAAAGCUCCGGCGCCUAUGGAUGGGUCUGCGGCCUAUCAGGUAGUAGUGGGUCUAAUGUACCUACUAGCUUACGACGGGUACGGGUUGUGAGAGCAAGAGCCCGGAGAUGGAUUCUGAGACACGAAUCCAGGCCCUACGGGGUGCAGCAGGCGCGAAAACUUUACAAUGCUGGAAACAGCGAUAAGGGGACCUCGAGUGCCAGGUUACAAAUCUGGCUGUCGUGAUGCCUAAAAAGCAUUGCAUAGCAAGGGCCGGGCAAGACCGGUGCCAGCCGCCGCGGUAACACCGGCGGCUCGAGUGGUAACCGUUAUUAUUGGGUCUAAAGGGUCUGUAGCCGGCCGGAUAAGUCUCUUGGGAAAUCCAGCAGCUCAACUGUUGGGCUUUCAGGAGAUACUGUCUGGCUCGAGGCCGGGAGAGGUGAGAGGUACUUCAGGGGUAGGGGUGAAAUCUUGUAAUCCUUGAAGGACCACCAGUGGCGAAGGCGUCUCACCAGAACGGACCUGACGGCAAGGGACGAAAGCUAGGGGCACGAACCGGAUUAGAUACCCGGGUAGUCCUAGCCGUAAACGAUACUCGCUAGGUGUCGGCCACGGUGCGACCGUUGUCGGUGCCGUAGGGAAGCCGUGAAGCGAGCCACCUGGGAAGUACGGCCGCAAGGCUGAAACUUAAAGGAAUUGGCGGGGGAGCA